This 373-nucleotide ribosomal RNA is filed under the name Staphylococcus succinus. RNAcentral's name for it is "bacterial SSU rRNA". It matches the Rfam family "Bacterial small subunit ribosomal RNA", at positions 56 to 419 of the family's 1533-position model. The record is from RNAcentral. Lineage: Bacteria; Bacillati; Bacillota; Bacilli; Caryophanales; Staphylococcaceae.
UGCAGUCGAGCGAACGGAUAAGGAGCUUGCUCCUUUGAAGUUAGCGGCGGACGGGUGAGUAACACGUGGGUAACCUACCUAUAAGACUGGAAUAACUUCGGGAAACCGGAGCUAAUGCCGGAUAACAUAUAGAACCGCAUGGUUCUAUAGUGAAAGAUGGUUUUGCUAUCACUUAUAGAUGGACCCGCGCCGUAUUAGCUAGUUGGUAAGGUAAUGGCUUACCAAGGCGACGAUACGUAGCCGACCUGAGAGGGUGAUCGGCCACACUGGAACUGAGACACGGUCCAGACUCCUACGGGAGGCAGCAGUAGGGAAUCUUCCGCAAUGGGCGAAAGCCUGACGGAGCAACGCCGCGUGAGUGAUGAAGGUUUUC